Molecule: long non-coding RNA, 331 nt
Organism: Oncorhynchus masou masou (cherry salmon)
Lineage: Eukaryota; Metazoa; Chordata; Actinopteri; Salmoniformes; Salmonidae
Exons: 4
Source: RefSeq, a predicted model, not a curated record
GGCAGAAGAGGAAGAUCCAGAACGUUGAUUGGGAAACAAGAACAAACAAUGAGGCAUGAGGAUUGGGUGUUGAGGGACCACUUGUCACAUUGUCCAAGUCCAACAGGAGUGCAUCCCUCAGGCUAUCCGGUGCAUGAACAUCCUUUGCCAGUGGGAUCCGAGGGUGAUCGUCCAGUUGUGGAGAGUACAGCACAUCGAGCCUGGGGAUGGACAGGUACAUGCAGGGAUGACUGGGGCCUUCAGCAAGUAAGACACGGGGUUCAAGGAGACCUACCAUUCCACUGAACCUGCCACAGAGAAGGUGCUUUAGCCACUGAAGAUCCUCCUCUGU